This is a non-coding RNA of Oryzias latipes (Japanese medaka), 581 nucleotides long. The record is from RefSeq and is a predicted model, not a curated record. Lineage: Eukaryota; Metazoa; Chordata; Actinopteri; Beloniformes; Adrianichthyidae.
CUGCAGUUCGUACGCCUGGCGGCAGAGGGCGCUGCUGAUCCCAGAGACUGUGACGCGGCGGCUAAAGAAUAGUAGAAAUAGUGAUAGCUAGUCCAUUGCAGUUCUUUCUAAUGUUGUUUAGCAUCAUUUUCUAAAUGGAGCAUUUUGUGUCUUAACUCGGGAAUUUGUGGAGAAACGUCUGUGGCAGAGGUUUCCAUGGAGACGGAGAGGCUUUUAAACCUGAAGUCAGAAAAGGAAAACAACACAGUUUUCUUCAGAAGGAGCAGCAAAGACGUCAUCUAAACGAAAUCGAACCGGCUGCUUCUGCAGAACCCGACCGGCUGAAGAAAAGGAUGCAGAAAAAGAGAAUCGGAUGGGAAGAAAAAAUUCACCCUGACAUCAUAGGAGCAGCAUCUGUCCAGCUGUUCUCAUUGUUCCUCUGUCACCACGACCCCCCCCACUUAAUUCCAGCUGUGGGACGCCCGGAGCCGGCACCCCGCCCCCCCCUUCCUGGGCGCUCACACACAGCUGCGUGGCACGUGGCGGCGGUGGCGGCAGAGGAUGGACGGAAGGAUGGAGAUGAAUGAGGAAGAUGCCCCAAA